GAUGAACGCUGGCGGCGUGCCUAAUACAUGCAAGUCGAGCGAACGGACGAGAAGCUUGCUUCUCUGAUGUUAGCGGCGGACGGGUGAGUAACACGUGGAUAACCUACCUAUAAGACUGGGAUAACUUCGGGAAACCGUAGCUAAUACCGGAUAAUAUUUUGAACCGCAUGGUUCAAAAGUGAAAGACGGUCUUGCUGUCACUUAUAGAUGGAUCCGCGCUGCAUUAGCUAGUUGGUAAGGUAACGGCUUACCAAGGCAACGAUGCAUAGCCGACCUGAGAGGGUGAUCGGCCACACUGGAACUGAGACACGGUCCAGACUCCUACGGGAGGCAGCAGUAGGGAAUCUUCCGCAAUGGGCGAAAGCCUGACGGAGCAACGCCGCGUGAGUGAUCAAGGUCUUCGGAUCGUAAAACUCUGUUAUUAGGGAAGAACAUAUGUGUAAGUAACUGUGCACAUCUUGACGGUACCUAAUCAGAAAGCCACGGCUAACUACGUG
This 497-nucleotide ribosomal RNA is filed under the name uncultured bacterium. Its description in RNAcentral is "partial 16S ribosomal RNA". It matches the Rfam family "Bacterial small subunit ribosomal RNA", at positions 28 to 507 of the family's 1533-position model. The record is from RNAcentral.